UCAUUUGAACAUUGACAUCUUGAACGCACAUUGCGGCCACGGGUUAGCCCGUGGCCACGUCUGUCCGAGAGUCGGUUUAUAAACUAUCACGACGCCCAAAAAGUCGUGGCUUGGGUCUUGCUAGCCGGCAUGAUUUCCCCUGUCUUGUCACGGGGGGCCGGAUCUAUGGCUUCUCCCUAAUGUACCCAGACGCUGACCGCGGCCUAUGCGUAAUAGUAUGGGCAGAAUACGGCGUUCGAAGUCGUGGCCAAAUAUUGGGAUUGCUCCGAUACACGCUUCUUCGUCGUUAUGUUGUGGCGUUUGAUGUUUCAUUCAUAUAUAUAUAUGAUGCCCUACGGGUGUCAUUCCCGACCUCGGUUCANGCGUGAAUACCCGCUGAACUUA
This 384-nucleotide ribosomal RNA is filed under the name Opecoelidae sp. KMD-2003. RNAcentral's name for it is "eukaryotic LSU rRNA". The stretch from base 1 to 74 matches the Rfam family "5.8S ribosomal RNA", at positions 81 to 154 of the family's 154-position model. The record is from RNAcentral. Lineage: Eukaryota; Metazoa; Platyhelminthes; Trematoda; Plagiorchiida; Opecoelidae.